AGAGUUUGAUCCUGGCUCAGGAUGAACGCUAGCGGCAGGCUUAACACAUGCAAGUCGAGGGGCAGCGGGGAGGAAGCUUGCUUUCUCCGCCGGCGACCGGCGCACGGGUGAGUAACACGUAUGCAACCUGCCCCUGUCAGGGGGACAACCCGCCGAAAGGCGGGCUAAACCCGCGUACAUGCCACCGGGGUAUCCCGGAGGCAGGAAAGGCUUCGGCCGGACAGGGAUGGGCAUGCGGCGCAUUAGGCAGUAGGCGGGGUAACGGCCCACCUAACCGACGAUGCGUAGGGGUUCUGAGAGGAAGGUCCCCCACACUGGUACUGAGACACGGACCAGACUCCUACGGGAGGCAGCAGUGAGGAAUAUUGGUCAAUGGUCGGGAGACUGAACCAGCCAAGCCGCGUGAGGGAUGAAGGUACAGAGUAUCGUAAACCUCUUUUGUCAGGGAACAAAGGCGGGGACGCGUCCCCGGAUGAGUGUACCUGAAGAAAAAGCAUCGGCUAACUCCGUGCCAGCAGCCGCGGUAAUACGGAGGAUGCGAGCGUUAUCCGGAUUUAUUGGGUUUAAAGGGUGCGCAGGCGGUUUGUUAAGUCAGCGGUCAAAGCCCGGGGCUCAACCCCGGCCCGCCGUUGAAACUGGCAGUCUCGAGUUGGAGAGAAGUAUGCGGAAUGCGCGGUGUAGCGGUGAAAUGCAUAGAUAUCGCGCAGAACUCCGAUUGCGAAGGCAGCAUGCCGGCUCCACACUGACGCUGAGGCACGAAAGCGUGGGUAUCGAACAGGAUUAGAUACCCUGGUAGUCCACGCAGUAAACGAUGAAUGCUGGCUGUCCGGGGGGACUGACCCCUGGGUGGCGAAGCGAAAGCGAUAAGCAUUCCACCUGGGGAGUACGCCGGCAACGGUGAAACUCAAAGGAAUUGACGGGGGCCCGCACAAGCGGAGGAACAUGUGGUUUAAUUCGAUGAUACGCGAGGAACCUUACCCGGGCUCAAACGGGGAGUGGCGCAGGCAGAGACGCCUGUUUCCCACGGGACACUCCCCGAGGUGCUGCAUGGUUGUCGUCAGCUCGUGCCGUGAGGUGUCGGCUUAAGUGCCAUAACGAGCGCAACCCCCGCGUGCAGUUGCUAACAGUCAACGCUGAGGACUCUGCACGGACUGCCGGCGCAAGCCGCGAGGAAGGCGGGGAUGACGUCAAAUCAGCACGGCCCUUACGUCCGGGGCGACACACGUGUUACAAUGGGUGGUACAGCGGGAAGCCAGGCGGCGACGCCGAGCGGAACCCGAAAUCCACUCUCAGUUCGGAUCGGAGUCUGCAACCCGACUCCGUGAAGCUGGAUUCGCUAGUAAUCGCGCAUCAGCCAUGGCGCGGUGAAUACGUUCCCGGGCCUUGCACUCACCGCCCGUCA
RNAcentral lists this ribosomal RNA (1402 nucleotides) under uncultured bacterium. RNAcentral's name for it is "16S ribosomal RNA". It matches the Rfam family "Bacterial small subunit ribosomal RNA". The record is from RNAcentral.